AAUGAACGUUGGCGGCGUGGAUUAGGCAUGCAAGUCGAGCGAGAACCCCGCAUGGGGGGCCAGCGGCGAAAGGGACAGUAAUGUGUAGAUUAUCUGCCCUCAGGUCCGGGAUAGCUGCGGGAAACUGCAGGUAAUACCGGAUAACAUCUCCGGAUCAAAGGUGUGAUUCCGCCUGAGGAUGAGUCUGCAUCCUAUUAGCUAGUUGGUGGGGUAAUGGCCUACCAAGGCAUUGAUGGGUAGCAGGUGUGAGAGCACGACCUGCGUCAUUGGGACUGAGACACUGCCCAGACACCUACGGGUGGCUGCAGUCGAGAAUCUUCGGCAAUGGGCGCAAGCCUGACCGAGCGACGCCGCGUGUGGGAUGAAGGCCUUCGGGUUGUAAACCACUGUCAGAGGGGAUGAAAUGCAGGUGGGUUCUCCCAUCUGUUUGACAUAGCCUCAGAGGAAGGACGGGCUAAGUUCGUG
This 465-nucleotide ribosomal RNA is filed under the name uncultured bacterium. RNAcentral's name for it is "partial 16S ribosomal RNA". It matches the Rfam family "Bacterial small subunit ribosomal RNA", at positions 29 to 507 of the family's 1533-position model. The record is from RNAcentral.